This is a long non-coding RNA of Rhincodon typus (whale shark), 1217 nucleotides long. RefSeq lists it as uncharacterized. Lineage: Eukaryota; Metazoa; Chordata; Chondrichthyes; Orectolobiformes; Rhincodontidae. The transcript has 4 exons. The record is from RefSeq and is a predicted model, not a curated record.
GAUGGAUACUAGCAGUGGGACACGAACCGUUCAAAAGCCUCGUCUGUCUUCCAAAGAUGAAAUGGAACCUCUUCACCUGAUCUCCCAUUAAAUCUCGAUGCUGCAAUCACUUGGAAAAAUGGUGAGGCUUAUUUCUGACAAAAAGUCACAGACCUGAAAUUUGAACUCUGUUUCUAUCUCUCCACAGAUGCUGCCGGACUUGUGGAAUGCUUCCAGCAAGAUCUCUUUUCAUGAAACAUCAUUUCUUGGUUAUGAGUGUGUCAACAAUCAGUUACUCGCUGGAACAGGAUAUCCAAAUAGCAAGUGCAAGAUUUGGAUGUGGUUUUGUAACAGCGACCUGUGCCCAUUGAUUGGUUCAGUGUUGGAUAUGUGUCAGUCAUCUGGGGGGAAAUAUAAAGGGGUUUCUGAUGGACGUGAUUUCUGGGAUGAUACCUUUACUGGAUACAUGUAUUGAAAAGUUUUAUUCUUGUGGAGAAGACCACAACUGAGGAUGUCCCAACACAUUUGAUCUCUGAAUCGUAACAAACAUCAGCAGGAGACACCUUUCAUCAUGUACACCUUGGAUGGAUACAGUGCUGGUACCCCAGAGCGAGGAGGUUCAAUCAACAUGCUUCAAUAUUGCAAAGGAUUCUGUUUCUGCUUGGUGUGUAAAGGCAUCUUCUGUUCUUAACGCAGAAAGGUGGACACAGAGUAAUGUACUGGUGCAGAAUGACCACACAGGCUGUUCAUGGAGCACUGGAGAUAGAGAGUCGCACAGGACGCUGGACCGGGACAAUGCCUAAGCACUGCUGGGCCUGAAUGAGAUAAUCCUUAAACCUGACCUAUUUCAGGUUCACUGGCAAGACGAAAAAAAUGCUUGCAGACACUUCUUCAUGUAAAAAUCAUCUUUAUAACUCACACAGAAACAUUACAGAAAAGAAUCUCCACAUCGAAUAAAUGGAACAUCGUUAAGAAAAAAAGAUACAAACAAAAUAAACGUAUUAAUUCAGGGAAAUAGUGUGUAAUGUUAGCUCAUCAUCAGCUUCAAUAUUGAUGCAAUAUAAAAAUGGAACCACAUACUGCAAGAAGUCACUGAUGAUACUCAACAUCUGUUAUGAGCACAGGCAGUUGGCAGAUUCAAAGCCUAAAAAAUGUUUGACCCUCUCUGAUCUGGCUGGUUACAUGAACUGAAAACCCAAGAUCUUGAAGAGCUGCAAUGGUGACUGAUCAAGACUGAA